UACGAAGGGUGCAAACGUUGCUCGGAAUUAUUGGGCGUAAAGCGCACGUAGGCGGCUAUUUAAGUCGGAUGUGAAAGCCCCUGGCUCAACUGGGGAAGUGCACCCGAAACUGAAUGGCUUGAGUGCAAAAGAGGGCCGCGGAAUUCCCGGUGUAGAGGUGAAAUUCGUAGAUAUCGGGAGGAACACCGGUGGCGAAGGCGGCGGCCUGGGUUGACACUGACGCUGAGGCGCGAAAGCGUGGGGAGCAAACAGG
RNAcentral lists this ribosomal RNA (253 nucleotides) under uncultured bacterium. RNAcentral's name for it is "partial 16S ribosomal RNA". It matches the Rfam family "Bacterial small subunit ribosomal RNA", at positions 524 to 776 of the family's 1533-position model. The record is from RNAcentral.